Salvia splendens (bonfire salvia) is the source of this 170-nucleotide long non-coding RNA. RefSeq lists it as uncharacterized. Lineage: Eukaryota; Viridiplantae; Streptophyta; Magnoliopsida; Lamiales; Lamiaceae. The record is from RefSeq and is a predicted model, not a curated record. The transcript has 4 exons.
UCAAAGAAAUUCCAGUUUUCAUAAUUGCAGGGGCCACGACGAUCAGACUAUGCUAGAAGCAACUAAUCACAUUGUAUUCAUUGCAUUUUUCGCGGGUUGUUUUGCAAUUAUAGUUUGUUUUACCACAGCACUAAACCCCCUUCUCAUAAUAAUCAUCGGAGUUGGAGUUG